AUCCGGACAAACAAGGCCGAGGGCUGGGCUGUAGGGGCUGUAACUAUUGAUCUCGGACAGCGCUGGCUGUGGCAGACUGCAGGCUGUGUGGCAGGACGUGUGGAUGUGUACUGUAACAAACACACCUUUGGCGUGGAGACCGACGCCAGGUGAGGGCGUGCGGCAGAAAACCAUUCCCUCCAUGUGACACUGGUAACAGACAACCAACAACAAACUCCACAACGCGUCCAGGGACGUUCAGAGCACGACAGACUGCGAACGAUUGAUGGUCUUCAGCUAGCUCCAGAAACUGGAGACACGUGACCAGAAGCAGUAUGCAGGCGCUGCUGUCCAAGGCGCGGCAGCAGGAUGUGCUAGCGUUGUUGUCGCCCUGCCUGCUGGUCUUUGCCGUGCCGCUGCUUCUGCCGGGGGUCACCAUCACCACCGUGGGCCUGCUCGACAACCCAGGAUUCCCCAAGUAUGGCGCGCUUCACGUCGUCGGCAUGAUACUCCUCGCCUUCUCCAUCGUCCUCAUCGGGCAGGCAUCGCCGUGGGUUGCGCCCUGGGCAAGAGAGGGGGCCAUCGAGUGAAGCCUAUGGAGGAGGAGGAGGCGGCCCACACGUACAACACACACGCUGCCUCCGACAAGGACGGACUUAAACUGGGGCUGCAGCACUCGUCCGACACUCGCCCUGAUGUGCAGCACUCGUCCGACACUCGCUCCUGAUGUGCAGCACGUGCCCCCAGUCGCCCGCCCCAGGGCGGAGCACGACCGUCACGGCACGAAGCGACCUCCCCUGCCGUACCACCACCGGCGACUGCGCUGGCCGUUCACGACAAGUCCGGACUCGAGACACCUGUGACCUCCAGCCAGCCUCACCACACGACAGCAGCACCUCAGCAAGUGUAGCUGAUACUCCUGUUCAAGGUCCACCCCACUGGAGGUCCUCUGUCCACGGACUUGCCAUCACCCGGCUCCCAGUCUCUUCCCGUCGCGACGAGGCCUUGACCUCCGUGAUUAACUCCAGUCU
Long non-coding RNA from Pomacea canaliculata, 1010 nucleotides. RefSeq lists it as uncharacterized. Lineage: Eukaryota; Metazoa; Mollusca; Gastropoda; Architaenioglossa; Ampullariidae. The transcript has 4 exons. The record is from RefSeq and is a predicted model, not a curated record.